This 1615-nucleotide long non-coding RNA is filed under the name Anser cygnoides (Swan goose). RNAcentral describes it as "lncRNA (ENSACDG00005007776.1)". Lineage: Eukaryota; Metazoa; Chordata; Aves; Anseriformes; Anatidae. The record is from RNAcentral.
GUCUGGGGGGAGCUGCCGCCCGUGGGGGACCCGUGCUGGAGCAGUUUGCUCCUGGGGGACGGACCCCAUGGUACGGAGCCAUGUGGGAGCAGUUCUUGAAGAGUUGCUGCCUGUGGGCAGCAGUCCUGCUCAGUUCUGGAAGGAUGGCAUCUCAUGGGAGGGACCCCACGUGGAGCUGGGGCAGAGAGUGACCGUGAAGGAGCGGUGGAGACAAAGCAUCAGGGACUUGGUUCAUGGAAGAAGACUAUAACUCAACACAAAUAAGUUAUAAAAGGUUUGCAGUCCAAGGCAGUCGCGUGCUGUUGCGGAGAGUGGAUCGCGGCGGGCAGGCGAUUUUCCGCAUCGAGGCCGCUGGAGGCAGUCAAGGGAGCCGCAAGGACCCAGCAAGUUGACUCCACGCCUCAAGACUUCCUCCAACAAGAAGGAAAGAAGGGUAAUGGUUGUAGGCGACUCCCUUCUGAAGGGAACAGAGGGCCCCAUAUGUCAGCUCGACCCUACCCGUAGGGAAGUCUGCAGCCUACCUGGGGCUCGGGUCAAGGACAUUACCAGGAAACUUCCUGACCUCGUUAGCCCCCCUCCGAUUAUUACCCAUUAGUGAGAAUUCAGGGUGGCAGUGAUGAAAUUGCUGAGAGAAGCCUGGAGACUAUCAAAANNNNNNNNNNNNNNNNNNNNAGGCGAUUUUCCGCAUCGAGGCCGCUGGAGGCAGUCAAGGGAGCCGCAAGGACCCAGCAAGUUGACUCCACGCCUCAAGACUUCCUCCAACAAGAAGGAAAGAAGGGAUGCUCCUGGUCAGUAAGAGAGACGAGCAGAAGGAAUCAGAGGGAACAGUCACAUGGGCAUGGGAGAGGAGAAGCAAAGUCCGUAAGGGAGAAGGGAACAGACAAAGACCCACACUACAUGACAUGGUUUAUUAAAUGCCAAGGCGGGCGACAGAACUUGGAAUUAAAGGCAGGCUGUUAUCUGCACAGAACCGCUGCGUUCUUGCCAGCGUGGUGGGGGCAAUGGCUGCUUUUGCUCACGGCCUGGAAACUGCCCAAAUUAGGGGGCAGAAGGCAAGUGUUGGCAGUCAUCUUCCAUCUUGGUAGAACUAUGGCUUGUUUUCUGGACUGGGACUUUGUCUGCUCCACCUUCAUCUGAUCAGUAAUGAUAUCCAGCUGUGAAAACAGGGAAACACACAAUAAGAAGAAAAUGCACAAGGCAGGAACACCUUUUCACCUCCAAUUACCAGUAUUCCAGAAGUUAGUGAAGGAAAUACCACAGGCUACACACAGAACGUUGUGAGGGAACCUGCAAAUGACUCUUGCUCAUCAGUGUUAGACUUAGUCCUCUGCAGCCCUCUUCAUCCUCAAGUGUCCCUACUCUCUAAGCAUUCAAACUGGGCAUUCUUUGGAACACUACUCCUAAAAUACAGCUUCCGCAUUCACCUUGAAAACGUUGAAAAGGAUCUGCCUUUGAAAAGGCAAACAUCUUCUUGCUGCAACCAGGCCCUAACGCAGCCUUCAGUGCGGCAUGUCUUUGUCUGGUGCCUGUUCUCCUAUUACCAUUUGUACGGUUAUUUUGUCUAUUCUCCCUUUCUUUCCCUUCACUCUUUCCCUUACGGCUUUGCAGAAGAAGA